AGUGAACGCUGGCGGUAGGCCUAACGCAUGCAAGUCGAACGGCAGCACAGUAAGAGCUUGCUCUUACGGGUGGCGAGUGGCGGACGGGUGAGGAAUACAUCGGAAUCUACUUUUUCGUGGGGGAUAACGUAGGGAAACUUACGCUAAUACCGCAUACGACCUACGGGUGAAAGCAGGGGAUCUUCGGACCUUGCGCGAUUGAAUGAGCCGAUGUCGGAUUAGCUAGUUGGCGGGGUAAAGGCCCACCAAGGCGACGAUCCGUAGCUGGUCUGAGAGGAUGAUCAGCCACACUGGAACUGAGACACGGUCCAGACUCCUACGGGAGGCAGCAGUGGGGAAUAUUGGACAAUGGGCGCAGGCCUGAUCCAGCCAUACCGCGUGGGUGAAGAAGGCCUUCGGGUUGUAAAGCCCUUUUGUUGGGAAAGAAAAGCAGCAGGUUAAUACCCCGCUGUUCUGACGGUACCCAAAGAAUAAGCACCGGCUAACUUCGUG
Molecule: ribosomal RNA, 492 nt
Filed under: uncultured bacterium
Lineage: Bacteria
Description: partial 16S ribosomal RNA
Rfam family: Bacterial small subunit ribosomal RNA
Source: RNAcentral